UUUAAAAGUGAAUCAAUCUAGACCGUUCAUGAAUUAGUUACUAUUCAAUCCAUUCUCCUAUAAAUAGAAGCUCAUUCCUUCAUUAUUUCUUACGAAUUCACUGAAACUCUUGAGAGAGAAACUGUAGAGAGAAUUCUUCUUCUAUAAUCUUGAGCGUAUUUCUUUAAAGUUUAAGAAAGCUUUGAGCGUAGUAUAAGUUUUCUUCAAGUAUAUCCCCGUCCUAUCCGUCGGAG
This 233-nucleotide long non-coding RNA is filed under the name Panax ginseng (ginseng). RNAcentral's name for it is "long non-coding RNA (PGIN_LNC007486)". The record is from RNAcentral. Lineage: Eukaryota; Viridiplantae; Streptophyta; Magnoliopsida; Apiales; Araliaceae.